UGCCCAUAGUAGCGGCGAGUGAAGCGGCAACAGCUCAAAUUUGAAAUCUGGCGCAAGCCCGAGUUGUAAUUUGUAGAGGAUGCUUCUGGGUAGCGACCGAUCUAAGUUCCUUGGAACAGGACGUCAUAGAGGGUGAGAAUCCCGUAUGUGACCGGCCCGCACCCUUUACGUAGCUCCUUCGACGAGUCGAGUUGUUUGGGAAUGCAGCUCUAAAUGGGAGGUAAAUUUCUUCUAAAGCUAAAUACCGGCCAGAGACCGAUAGCGCACAAGUAGAGUGAUCGAAAGAUGAAAAGUACUUUGGAAAGAGAGUUAAAAAGCACGUGAAAUUGUUGAAAGGGAAGCGCCUGCAACCAGACUUCGCGGCAGUGUUCCGCCGGUCUUCUGACCGGUUCAUUCUCUGUCGCGAGGCCAUCAUCGUCUGGGCCCGCCGGAUAAGACCUGAGGAAUGUGGCUCCCCCUCGGGGGAGUGUUAUAGCCUCUGGUGAUGCGGCGUGGCUCGGGCGAGGUCCGCGCUUCGGCAAGGAUGAUGGCGUAAUGGUUGUCGGCGGCCCGUCUUGAAACACGGACCAAGGAGUCUAACAUCUAUGCGAGUGUUCGGGUGUCAAACCCCUACGCGUAAUGAAAGUGAACGGAGGUGGGAACCGCAAGGUGCACCAUCGACCGAUCCUGAUGUCCUCGGAUGGAUUUGAGUAAGAGCAUAGCUGUUGGGGACCCGAAAGAUGGUGAACUAUGCCUGAAUAGGGUGAAGCCAGAGGAAAACUCUGGUGGAGGCUCACAGCGGGUUCUGACGUGCAAAUCGAUCGUUCAAAUUUGGGUAUAGGGGGCGAAAGGACUAAUCGAACCAUCUAGUAGGCUGGUUCCCUGCCGGAAAGUUUCCCUCUGGAUAGCAAUAAACGUUUUCAGUUAUUAUGGAGGGGGAG
Molecule: ribosomal RNA, 920 nt
Filed under: Cercospora sp.
Lineage: Eukaryota; Fungi; Ascomycota; Dothideomycetes; Mycosphaerellales; Mycosphaerellaceae
Description: partial large subunit ribosomal RNA
Rfam family: Eukaryotic large subunit ribosomal RNA
Source: RNAcentral